AUUGAACGCUGGCGACAUGCCUUACACAUGCAAGUCGAACGGCAGCACGGGUGCUUGCACCUGGUGGCGAGUGGCGAACGGGUGAGUAAUACAUCGGAACAUGUCCUGUAGUGGGGGAUAGCCCGGCGAAAGCCGGAUUAAUACCGCAUACGAUCUACGGAUUAAAGCGGGGGACCUUCGGGCCUCGCGCUAUAGGGUUGGCCGAUGGCUGAUUAGCUAGUUGGUGGGGUAAAGGCCUACCAAGGCGACGAUCAGUAGCUGGUCUGAGAGGACGACCAGUCACACUGGGACUGAGACACGGCCCAGACUCCUACGGGAGGCAGCAGUGGGGAAUUUUGGACAAUGGGCGAAAGCCUGAUCCAGCAAUGCCGCGUGUGUGAAGAAGGCCUUCGGGUUGUAAAGCACUUUUGUCCGGAAAGAAAUCCUUGGCCCUAAUACGGUCGGGGGAUGACGGUACCGGAAGAAUAAGCACCGGCUAACUACGUG
RNAcentral lists this ribosomal RNA (486 nucleotides) under uncultured bacterium. Its description in RNAcentral is "partial 16S ribosomal RNA". It matches the Rfam family "Bacterial small subunit ribosomal RNA", at positions 30 to 507 of the family's 1533-position model. The record is from RNAcentral.